CCCUUAGAUGUUCUGGGCCGCACGCGCGCUACACUGACGGAUUCAACGAGCUUACAACCUUGGCCGAAAGGUCUGGGUAAUCUCCAAAAUCCGUCGUGAUGGGGAUAGAUUAUUGCAAUUAUUUAUCUUCAACGAGGAAUGCCUAGUAAGCGCAAGUCAUCAGCUUGCGUUGAUUACGUCCCUGCCCUUUGUACACACCGCCCGUCGCUCCUACCGAUUGAAUGGUCCGGUGAAGCGUUUGGACUAUGGUUUUCUGAUGGUCCGCCGUUGGAUUACCGUGGGAAGUUCGUUAAACCUUAUCAUUUAGAGGAAGGAGAAGUCGUAACA
RNAcentral lists this ribosomal RNA (327 nucleotides) under uncultured eukaryote. RNAcentral describes it as "partial 18S ribosomal RNA". It matches the Rfam family "Eukaryotic small subunit ribosomal RNA", at positions 1470 to 1796 of the family's 1831-position model. The record is from RNAcentral.